GAGCUUGCUCUUAUGAAGUUAGCGGCGGACGGGUGAGUAACACGUGGGUAACCUACCCAUAAGACUGGGAUAACUCCGGGAAACCGGGGCUAAUACCGGAUAAUAUUUUGAACUGCAUAGUUCGAAAUUGAAAGGCGGCUUCGGCUGUCACUUAUGGAUGGACCCGCGUCGCAUUAGCUAGUUGGUGAGGUAACGGCUCACCAAGGCGACGAUGCGUAGCCGACCUGAGAGGGUGAUCGGCCACACUGGGACUGAGACACGGCCCAGACUCCUACGGGAGGCAGCAGUAGGGAAUCUUCCGCAAUGGACGAAAGUCUGGCGGAGCAACGCCGCGUGAGUGAUGAAGGCUUUCGGGUCGUAAAACUCUGUUGUUAGGGAAGAACAAGUGCUAGUUGAAUAAGCUGGCACCUUGACGGUACCUAACCAGAAAGCCACGGCUAACUACGUGCCAGCAUCCGCGGUAAUACGUAGGUGGCAAGCGUUAUCCGGAAUUAUUGGGCGUAAAGCGCGCGCAGGUGGUUUCUUAAGUCUGAUGUGAAAGCCCACGGCUCAACCGUGGAGGGUCAUUGGAAACUGGGAGACUUGAGUGCAGAAGAGGAAAGUGGAAUUCCAUGUGUAGCGGUGAAAUGCGCAGAGAUAUGGAGGAACACCAGUGGCGAAGGCGACUUUCUGGUCUGUAACUGACNCUGAGGCGCGAAAGCGUGGGGAGCAAACA
This 715-nucleotide ribosomal RNA is filed under the name uncultured bacterium. Its description in RNAcentral is "bacterial SSU rRNA". It matches the Rfam family "Bacterial small subunit ribosomal RNA", at positions 76 to 774 of the family's 1533-position model. The record is from RNAcentral.